This 2492-nucleotide long non-coding RNA is filed under the name Medicago truncatula (barrel medic). RNAcentral describes it as "long non-coding RNA (MTRU_LNC003639)". Lineage: Eukaryota; Viridiplantae; Streptophyta; Magnoliopsida; Fabales; Fabaceae. The record is from RNAcentral.
AAAAUUGUAGCAAGAGCAUAUCCUAUGGAAGAUGCUAAAUUAGGAACCUUAUUUCACUUUAAUUUAUAUACCCUUUAAUCAAAAAGUCACCACACAACCUACUUAAGUCAUCAUUCCUUUCUAUUCAUGUCAUUAAAACCAACAAGAAAAAUCCUAUAACAACCAAACCAAGCUACCAUUUCAAACCCUCUUUCAUUUUCACUCCAUCUCAAACAUGUAACAUUACUUAUACACCUCUAUCCUUUAUGGAACCACAUGGGAUAGAGGAGAAGUGGAUGGUGUGUGUAAUGGUUUCCAAUUUUCAUGCUCCUUUUCUUUCAAGAUUAUAAGCAAUAUGUUAAUGAUUGCUGGGAAUGAACCUUCUUUGUUGAUGGGAUUUUCUCUUUGGAAAGGGCAACUUCGAUCCUUUGGCAUUUUUCAAUUCCUUCAUCACAAUUCACACUCUUGUGAUUUGAUGGAGCUUUCAUAUGGCAACACCCCUAUUAUGUAAUAAGUAUUGUACUCUCUUCUUUUCUUAUAGUACCCUUUUUUGUUUGUGUGUUGUUGUGUGACUUCAAUUUUCAAUUGCAAGCUAUGUUUGUAUAAUAUGCCUACUAUAGACUAUAGAAGGUAUAUCCAAUAAAUGUACGUUUCUAUAUGCCACUGGCCAUAUAUUCUAUUGUUGUUGUUUAAUAUUAACCAAUGUGUAUCUAGAUCUCUAAGCAUGUUUUCUUUGCUUUUUUUUUUGUUUGUUUGUUGCAUUUUACAUAACUACGUAGUUAUUUACUCUAUACUACCAUGGAUAUGAAUCUUCAGCAAGUGUACGGAUACGGACGUUACAAAGUCAUUUGAGUGAGAUUGAUCAAUCUCACAUCAAAUGACUAUGGGAUGACUGUAUUAGUCACAUUCUAUAUUGGAUAGAAUAUUAACCAAUGUGUAUCUAGAUUUCUUAACAUGUUAUUUUUGCUUCUUCUUCUUCUUUUGUUUUUUUUUGUUUUUGUUUUGCAUUUUACGUACUUAUUUACUCUAUACUACCGUGGAUAUGGAUCUUCAACAACGGUUGUACCGACACAGUCAUUAUAAAGUCAUUUGAUGUGAGACAAACAAACUCAUCAAAUAACUUUGUGAUAACCGUAGUAGUCACGUUCUAUAUUGGACAGAAUAUAUAACAAAACAUAUGAAUCUUAUGAAUUUAAAGUGCCCACUAUGUAAUGUGGUCAAACAUGUUCUGUUACCUCUUUAGGAAACAGCUAGCAUCGUCCCUUCUUCCAUCGGUGCUUCAUGUUUCUAACUUUCUCCUCCAUGCUCAGCGGAAGAUCAUUUGAAGAUUUGUUUUUUAUUAAGUUGGGAGAACUUCUCUUUUCUUUUUCUUUUUUUUCCUUUUAAUAUAUGUUCGAAAUAAAAUCCAUUUCAGGUUGGUCUACGGGUUGGUUUGGGAUCUUGUAGUGUACUCUUCUUGAGGUUGAUUCCUUUUGGUGCCAAUUAUGGUGGAUAAGUUCAUGCAGAACUUUGUUCGGGUUUUAAACGGGCCCCCGCAAGUGGACGGUGGGAUUGGUCCCCUCAGAUUAGUCGAUCUUUGGAUCGGAUAUCGAGUUUUCAAUAUAUAUAUUUGUGUGUGUGUUCGAAAAAAGAUGAUCAAGUCACUUAAGUGUCUGCACUAGAUUGUAGAUCGUACUCCCUCCGGUCCUAUUUAUAAGAGAAUUUUGGGUCAACAAAAGUUGAUGUAUCUAGUUAAAAAUUCAGUCCAAAUACAUUCACUUUUGUUGACCUAAAUUUCUCUUAUAAAUAGGACCGGAGGUAGUAUUAUGUUUUUAUAUUAGAGAUAACUCAUCCUUAUAAAAUUAAUUUUUAAGAUGAGGGUGUCGCAUUUUAUAAACUCAUACUCCAAGGCUAUUGAAUUUGGUGUGCGGAUAGUCGGAUAUAUAAAUGAUAGAUGGUCUGAUAGAUAUACUAUCAUAUUAUAUUUUUAUAUUGAAUCUAACUCAUCUUAUCUUAUGAAUAUAUCUCACCUGAAAGGUAAAGAGUGUUAAUCCAAUCUUUAUAAACAAUGAGCAUAUUAUCUUUAUUCUUGGUUGGACAAGGCCACUUGGGUUUUCCCCAAUAGGUUGACAUGUUAGCUGCAUUUGAUAUUCAAUUCAUUAGUCAAUUUUUAAGUCAAUGAUAACAACUUUUGUUGAUUGGUCAGGUUCUGGUGGUAAUUGCAAAUUUCUGCAGUAGCUAUUGGUUGAUACUGAUUCAAAACACAAACUAUAUAUAUUUCAUUAAUCAUUAGUAAUAAUGAGGGAAAGUGGUCCCAUGUAAUUUCAGCGACUCUGCAGUUGCGUCCAAAACUUUAAUCUAUAGUCUAACUGAAAUUUGAGAAUAACAUUGUGUUUGCUAUGCAAUUUUUAAAGGAAAUGUUAAAGAGUGUUUUUAGGGUAUUCGUUAAGAAGAUAGAAAUAAAAAUUUUGUAUUGAAAAAUGAUGAAUUUGACUUUUCAAAAGUUAAAAUAUAGUUGAAUUCAAUGUAAACCU